Molecule: ribosomal RNA, 577 nt
Filed under: uncultured Comamonadaceae bacterium
Lineage: Bacteria; Pseudomonadati; Pseudomonadota; Betaproteobacteria; Burkholderiales; Comamonadaceae
Description: bacterial SSU rRNA
Rfam family: Bacterial small subunit ribosomal RNA
Source: RNAcentral
GUAGUCCACGCCCUAAACUAUGUCAACUGGUUGUCGGGGAAGCAAUUCCUUGGUAACGAAGCUAACGCGUGAAGUUGACCGCCUGGGGAGUACGGCCGCAAGGUUAAAACUCAAAGGAAUUGACGGGGACCCGCACAAGCGGUGGAUUAUGUGGAUUAAUUCGAUGCAACGCGAAAAACCUUACCUACCCUUGACAUGUACGGAAUCCCCCAGAGACGGGGGAGUGCCCGAAAGGGAGCCGUAACACAGGUGCUGCAUGGCUGUCGUCAGCUCGUGUCGUGAGAUGUUGGGUUAAGUCCCGCAACGAGCGCAACCCUUGCCAUUAGUUGCUACAUUCAGUUGGGCACUCUAAUGGGACUGCCGGUGACAAACCGGAGGAAGGUGGGGAUGACGUCAAGUCCUCAUGGCCCUUAUGGGUAGGGCUUCACACGUAAUACAAUGGCCGGUACAGAGGGCAGCCAACCCGCGAGGGGGAGCUAAUCCCAGAAAGCCGGUCGUAGUCCGGAUUGUAGUCUGCAACUCGACUGCAUGAAGCCGGAAUCGCUAGUAAUCGCGGAUCAGCAUGUCGCGGUGAAUA